This 340-nucleotide ribosomal RNA is filed under the name Campsicnemus alpinus. RNAcentral's name for it is "partial 12S ribosomal RNA". The record is from RNAcentral. Lineage: Eukaryota; Metazoa; Arthropoda; Insecta; Diptera; Dolichopodidae.
UUAUUUAGAAAUAUAAAUAUUAGAGUAGUAAUAGUUAUGGUCUUGAAACUCAAAAAAUUUGGCGGUAUUUUAGUCUAUUCAGAGGAACCUGUAAUAUAAUCGAUAAUCCACGAUGGAUCUUACUUAAUUUUGUAAUUUAAUUUGUAUAUCGCCGUUAUUUGAAAAUUUUAUAAGAAAAAUAAUUUUCUAAGAUUUUUAUUAAAAAAUAAAUCAGGUCAAGGUGCAGUUUAUGAUUAAGUUUUAUAUGGGUUACAAUAAAUUUAUUUACACGGAUUAAAAAAUGAAAUAUUUUUAAGAAGGUGGAUUUGAUAGUAAAUUUUUAAAGAUAAAAAAAUUGAUU